UACGUAGGGCGCAAGCGUUGUCCGGAAUUAUUGGGCGUAAAGAGCUCGUGGGCGGUUCGUCGCGUCGGCUGUGAAAUCCCGAGGCUCAACCUCGGGUCUGCAGUCGAUACGGGCGGACUGGAGUUCGGCAGGGGAGACUGGAAUUCCUGGUGUAGCGGUGAAAUGCGCAGAUAUCAGGAGGAACACCGGUGGCGAAGGCGGGUCUCUGGGCCGAUACUGACGCUGAGGAGCGAAAGCGUGGGGAGCGAACAGG
This 253-nucleotide ribosomal RNA is filed under the name uncultured bacterium. RNAcentral describes it as "partial 16S ribosomal RNA". It matches the Rfam family "Bacterial small subunit ribosomal RNA", at positions 524 to 776 of the family's 1533-position model. The record is from RNAcentral.